RNAcentral lists this ribosomal RNA (253 nucleotides) under uncultured bacterium. RNAcentral describes it as "partial 16S ribosomal RNA". It matches the Rfam family "Bacterial small subunit ribosomal RNA", at positions 524 to 776 of the family's 1533-position model. The record is from RNAcentral.
UACGUAGGGUGCAAGCGUUAAUCGGAAUUACUGGGCGUAAAGCGUGCGCAGGCGGUGAUGUAAGACAGUUGUGAAAUCCCCGGGCUCAACCUGGGAACUGCAUCUGUGACUGCAUCGCUGGAGUGCGGCAGAGGGGGAUGGAAUUCCGCGUGUAGCAGUGAAAUGCGUAGAUAUGCGGAGGAACACCGAUGGCGAAGGCAAUCCCCUGGGCCUGCACUGACGCUCAUGCACGAAAGCGUUGGGAGCAAACAGG